AAGUCGUAACAAGGUUUCCGUAGGUGAACCUGCGGAAGGAUCAUUACAGAGAACUUGCCCUUCGGGGUAGAUCUCCACCCUUUGUUUAUUAUACCUUUGUUGCUUUGGCGGGCCCGCCUCACGGCUACCGGCCUCGGCUGGUCCGCGCCCGCCAGAGAAUCCAAACUCUGAAUUAUAUGUCGUCUGAGUACUAUACAAUAGUUAAAA
RNAcentral lists this unclassified non-coding RNA (207 nucleotides) under plant metagenome. Its description in RNAcentral is "partial contains small subunit ribosomal RNA and internal transcribed spacer 1". The stretch from base 1 to 46 matches the Rfam family "Eukaryotic small subunit ribosomal RNA", at positions 1786 to 1831 of the family's 1831-position model. The record is from RNAcentral.